GGCAGAGGGAGCACCUGUCAGAUCCUGGGUGUUUGGGAACCGCUGAACCACGUGGCCAUGGGUGCAAUGAUCUGUCAUCAAGUGGAAAGUGUUAAGUGGGAAUUGCAGGAGCAGAUGGCUCAGACCCAGCGAUGCUCUCUGCUGUCCCUUCCAGUCCAUACCUGCAGCAGGAGGAACAUUUGAUCAAGGAGGAAAGACGUUGGGCCUUGUUUCCAGAAGAUUCUGCAUACAUCCUGGCUUUGACUGGAAGUGGACGUCUGUGGGGUCUCCCUGAAAGACAGUGAAGACCAGAUAUGCAAGCAAAACUUUGGGGUUUCUGCCUUGUUUAGACUGAUGAGAGACUGGACUAUGGGUCGACAGAGGAUUUGUAGACCGGUGCUUCAGCUCAGAGACUACCCAAUCUCGCCAUUGUUUGAUUUUGCGCUGAGCCCUGCGUCGAGCCUUGACGUGGCACCACCCAAGACCGCGGAAACGAGCUGCGUACUCAGGUCUGUUGUGGAAGGGACGUGUCAUGGAGAUGGCUUUGCCUUGCUUGGUCACCAUGCCUCUGCUGGCCUGUUGUCCAUGGACUUUGAGAACAUCUUCAGUGUCACCGUGUCACACUGCUUGUCGUCAGCUAAUUCUUUCUGUCUUUGUCUUUCUCAGAACAGUAAGAAGGAGAUCAUCUACGGGCUAGGAAAAGAGGUCCUACUGUACAAGAAGUCAACCCUGCCAGCACCUUGA
RNAcentral lists this long non-coding RNA (723 nucleotides) under Fukomys damarensis (Damara mole-rat). RNAcentral's name for it is "lncRNA (ENSFDAG00000027675.1)". The record is from RNAcentral. Lineage: Eukaryota; Metazoa; Chordata; Mammalia; Rodentia; Bathyergidae.